GUGAUUUUCAAGGUUAAUGGUCAUCGACUCAAACCUUACUAUGAGUCUUUGUGGAGCAAGAAGUGGAGGAUGUACCCCUCCAUGAACCCGCUUCCCUUGAGUAAAUUUCUUGGUACCGUCAGGUUGAGGACGUCAAAACCAAGCGCUGGUUGGGAGGCAACCCAACAAUGGAGGAUUGGAAGAGGCGUCAAUGGGUCGUCAAACCAGAUUUGCUUUCUCUAGCUUUUACUCUUUGCUUUUCUUUUCAUUGCUUUGCUUUGUGUCGGUGUGUUUUUGUGAAUGUAUCUUUGUUUCCAUACUUUACUCUCUUCAUUGCAUGCUUAGAAUUUGUUUAACAUUGUGGACAAUGUUAGAAAUAAGUGUGGGGGGAAGGAAAACAUUCUUUCCUUUUGUGUUCUUGUUACAAAAAAAAAAAAAAAGAGUCUAGUUUUUAGUUUUUCGUUGAGUCUUUAGGUGUCUUCCAACUCUAUGAUGAGCAUGAACUUUUCAAAGAUUAUUAUUAUGGCCACAAAAGGGUUGCAAGCAUGUGUCUUAUUCAUGAUUUCAAAUAAUUGUUAAUAGAUUUUAACGAUUAUUUUACUUGAGUUGUGUGCAUUGAUGGUUAGACUAAUGUGAUGAAUGAGAUUGAUUGAUUCAUGCUAAGAUAAGUUCAACUUGAUUCAUAUGACCCUUAUGUGAGCUUUUGAGCUUUAUAUAUGUGCUUUCUUUCUGAGUGGUUAUUGAAGAUAUUCUUAUUCGUUUUCUUGGCUAUAAAUUUUCGAAAACCUUAUUAUUCUUUCUUGUCGAUUGAUUUCUCACCAUAGCUUUUAAUGAACUCUAGAUGACUAGAACUCACUCUUGUGGACUUUCGAAACUUUUUAUCAUAAAACACUCUGAUUUUGGAAAGGAUAAAUAGAACUUUUUAGGAUGAACAUCAUUGCCAGAUUAUCAUGUGUCCUUAUUUGUGUGCGCGGCACACCCCUUAGUUAAACCCCUUUGAGCCUACGUUAAGCAUUUCUUUCAUCACCCAUGGAAUACAUACCUUGAGUUUAGUGUAGUGAUAUCUCUACCUUUGUCCUUUGAGCCUAGUAGAGCAUGAUGUUGUGAU
RNAcentral lists this long non-coding RNA (1087 nucleotides) under Fragaria vesca (wild strawberry). RNAcentral describes it as "long non-coding RNA (FVES_LNC004880)". Lineage: Eukaryota; Viridiplantae; Streptophyta; Magnoliopsida; Rosales; Rosaceae. The record is from RNAcentral.